This 499-nucleotide ribosomal RNA is filed under the name uncultured bacterium. RNAcentral describes it as "partial 16S ribosomal RNA". It matches the Rfam family "Bacterial small subunit ribosomal RNA", at positions 30 to 523 of the family's 1533-position model. The record is from RNAcentral.
AUUGAACGCUGGCGGCAUGCCUUACACAUGCAAGUCGAACGGCAGCGCGGGCUUCGGCCUGGCGGCGAGUGGCGAACGGGUGAGUAAUGUAUCGGAACGUGCCCUAGAGUGGGGGAUAACUAGUCGAAAGAUUGGCUAAUACCGCAUACGAUCUAAGGAUGAAAGCGGGGGAUCGCAAGACCUCGUGCUCAUGGAGCGGCCGAUAUCUGAUUAGCUAGUUGGUGGGGUAAAGGCCUACCAAGGCGACGAUCAGUAGCUGGUCUGAGAGGACGACCAGCCACACUGGACUGAGACACGGCCCAGACUCCUACGGGAGGCAGCAGUGGGGAAUUUUGGACAAUGGGGGCAACCCUGAUCCAGCAAUGCCGCGUGUGUGAAGAAGGCCUUCGGGUUGUAAAGCACUUUUGUCCGGAAAGAAAUUGCCUGAGCUAAUACCUUGGGUAGAUGACGGUACCGGAAGAAUAAGCACCGGCUAACUACGUGCCAGCCGCCGCAGUAA